RNAcentral lists this long non-coding RNA (545 nucleotides) under Mytilus galloprovincialis (Mediterranean mussel). Lineage: Eukaryota; Metazoa; Mollusca; Bivalvia; Mytilida; Mytilidae. The record is from RNAcentral.
CCCAGAGUUCCAUGCUUUAGCAUAUGGCGAAAACGUAAACUCUUGACACAAUGUUCGAUAAACAAAUCCAAGUCAGUGAAAAGACGACGAAGCUGCGUCAAGGAAGAAAAUAUAUGCAUUUAUGAUUUAGGUAUAAUGAGCGCACGAACUAGUUUCAGACCAUGGGAAUAUCGUAAAAUUGACGAAGCUCUUCUGCAACUGGCACUCAAUUUUCCUAACUACGAUAAAAAAAGUGACACUGUGACUGUCACUGACAGUAAGUGCAGCAAAAUAUUAUUCACGCAAUCAGUCAACAACCCUACGCUUGAGAACUGACAAACAUCGCUUAAUUUGCACUAUUGCAUUUAUAUGCACCAGGUUGGAACUACUUGGCCAGUCAUGUCGAUCUGGCCCCAAGACCAAGUUGAAUCGUCCCAAGUCAUUUGCCCUUAUUCGUGUUCGCCCUGAUUCGCAUUCGCCCCAGUCCCUGGUUGCCCUUGUGCAUGUUUGCCCUAGGUCAAUUUACCCUGAUUUUUAUGCAGUUAAGCUGCAUUAUGUGAGCACCC